AAGCUCGAGUCCGCGGUGGCGGCGCUUUCCAGCGGUAGCCAGUCGGAGGAGGCGGGCGCGAUGCGUAGCGGGGCGGGGGACGCAGAGCCGGUAGCUGCUCGCGCCCGCAUGCGGUCGGCGCGCUGUACGGGUGGCGCGGCGGCGGUGCGUUAAACGCAGCACUGCGGCUCUGCAUGAGGCCAGCAGAGCUUGCUCUGCAUGUCUAGGCCUGAAAAUCAGGUUUUGCUAUCAGCUCUGUUCUCUGGUCAUGAUUCAUUGGACGAUAGGUAUUUGUUGGGGAGCAUGCCCCAAAUGUCAAGUUGAUCUUAGUCACAGAGUCUCCCAGUAUGAUUAAUUGGCAGGCCCUCCAGACGUAAUAUAUGUUUGUAUGAUGCAUGAAGGGUGACAAUAUUCUGGAUCGGCAAAGUGUUAAAUAAGGCAUGUGGUUGAAGUCUGGUGUUACCUCCUGUUUAGGCCUACAUGCUCAUUCUGAAACAAUGUUUGGAUAUCAAGCUCUCUAUAUUGUUAUUCAUUUUGUAGUUCUUUGUGUACAUGUAUGAACCCGAACGAGGGAAAAUGUCAUGUAAUUGCUCAGUUUUUACUCUGACCAA
Long non-coding RNA from Lolium rigidum, 590 nucleotides. RefSeq lists it as uncharacterized. The transcript has 4 exons. Lineage: Eukaryota; Viridiplantae; Streptophyta; Magnoliopsida; Poales; Poaceae. The record is from RefSeq and is a predicted model, not a curated record.